GCGCCUUUAGUUCAGUUGGUAGAACGUCGGUCUCCAAAACCGGAUGUCGUGGGUUCAAGUCCUACAGGGCGCG
This 73-nucleotide transfer RNA is filed under the name Bacteroidota bacterium. RNAcentral describes it as "tRNA-Trp". It matches the Rfam family "tRNA". Rfam says of the family: Transfer RNA (tRNA) molecules are approximately 80 nucleotides in length. Lineage: Bacteria; Pseudomonadati; Bacteroidota. RNAcentral also lists the same sequence under 1 other name. The record is from RNAcentral.